UACGUAGGGUGCGAGCGUUGUCCGGAAUUACUGGGCGUAAAGAGCUCGUAGGUGGUUUGUCACGUCGUCUGUGAAAUUCCGGGGCUUAACCUCGGGCGUGCAGGCGAUACGGGCAAUACUUGAGUGCUGUAGGGGAGACUGGAAUUCCUGGUGUAGCGGUGAAAUGCGCAGAUAUCAGGAGGAACACCGAUGGCGAAGGCAGGUUACUGGGCCACCACUGACGCUGAGGAGCGAAAGCGUGGGUAGCGAACAGGAUUAGAUACCCCCGUA
This 270-nucleotide ribosomal RNA is filed under the name uncultured prokaryote. Its description in RNAcentral is "partial 16S ribosomal RNA". It matches the Rfam family "Bacterial small subunit ribosomal RNA", at positions 524 to 792 of the family's 1533-position model. The record is from RNAcentral.